RNAcentral lists this ribosomal RNA (245 nucleotides) under uncultured bacterium. Its description in RNAcentral is "partial 16S ribosomal RNA". It matches the Rfam family "Bacterial small subunit ribosomal RNA", at positions 88 to 334 of the family's 1533-position model. The record is from RNAcentral.
AUGGCGACCGGCGCACGGGUGCGUAACGCGUAUGCAACCUACCUUUAACAGGGGCAUAACACUGAGAAAUUGGUACUAAUUCCCCAUAACAUUCGAGAAGGCAUCUUCUUGGGUUAAAAACUCCGGUGGUUAAAGAUGGGCAUGCGUUGUAUUAGCUAGUUGGUGAGGUAACGGCUCACCAAGCCUUCGAUGGAUAGGGGUUCUGAGAGGAAGGUCCCCCACAUUGGAACUGAGACACGGUCCAA